Molecule: non-coding RNA, 46 nt
Filed under: Schistosoma haematobium
Lineage: Eukaryota; Metazoa; Platyhelminthes; Trematoda; Strigeidida; Schistosomatidae
Source: RNAcentral
GUACUGUUGAAGAGUCCGACCAUAGGACGAAAUGGCCGUCCAGUGC